Long non-coding RNA from Mus musculus (house mouse), 250 nucleotides. RefSeq annotates it as predicted gene, 40440. The record is from RefSeq and is a predicted model, not a curated record. Lineage: Eukaryota; Metazoa; Chordata; Mammalia; Rodentia; Muridae. The transcript has 3 exons.
ACUACAGCGUGCUGCUUGUAGUGCUUUAAGCAGCAGGAGUAAGACGUCCUUGUGUUGUUCCUAGUCUUAGUGUGUUCGCACCGUUUUCCUGAGGUGAGGACAGCACUGAGUGUUUAGCACACUUCUUUCCUCACCGUGUGUUGAGAUCAGUCGGACAAGAACUCUCAUGCAAGCUCUGAUGAAAGUGACAGAAAACACUGUUCCUGCUAAAAACAGCUGGAAGAUGUCUGGUGAAAGGACAUGUGAUGGU